AUGGCCGGUUCUUGUGACCCGGUUGUCUUCGGUGUCCUCCUGUGGCUAGAGCCGAGGCUUUACUGAAAAUGCUGAGUCAGGAGAGCGCCAGUCUCAUUCCCUGCGCUACUCAUCCAUCGCUCUCUGCAGUGUCCUUUGUUUCAACCGGGUUUAAGUCAUCGUUAUCCGAGGCGCUGUGUUAACGGGCGGCUUCGGCUCUCUCCGAGCGUGUGGGUGGAAGCGAGUGAUGGGAGAUAAGUACAGGCAUCCAUGUUUAUAUAAAGAGACAACUUUAGACACAAAGUAGUGUGAUUGCAGAAAUAUGAAGAAAGGUGCUUGGAAGCAUAGGAGGAAGUGAUUGAUUCUAUGUUGUGAAACCAAAGAAGUCUUCUGGAAGAGUUUCAGAAUGGCUUCGGUUAUUGCCUUUCCUUGGUGUACUUGCACUACUUGGCUACCUUGCAGUCCGUCCAUUCUUCCCGAAGAAAAA
Marmota flaviventris (yellow-bellied marmot) is the source of this 466-nucleotide long non-coding RNA. RefSeq lists it as uncharacterized. Lineage: Eukaryota; Metazoa; Chordata; Mammalia; Rodentia; Sciuridae. The record is from RefSeq and is a predicted model, not a curated record.